AUGGAAAAACAAAAGGUCAAGAAUUUCAAGGGAAUUAAUGAAAAAAAAAAUCAAAUGAAGGUGGCCUAGCUGUACCAAAUCUAAAUUUAUAUUAUAAAGCAGCGGUUACUAAAACCAUCUGGCAUUGGCUAAGAAACAGACUAGUUGAUGAAUAGAAUAGGUUAGGUUCAAAGGACAAAACAGCCAAUAACUUUAAUAAUACAGUGUUUGACAAACCCAAAGAUCCCAGUUUUUGCAAUAAGAACACAUUAUUUGACAAAAAUUGCUGGGAAAAUUAGAAAUUAGUAUGGCAGAAACUAGGCAUUGACCCACACUUACCACCGUACACCAAGAUAAGGUCAAAAUGGGUUCAUAACCUAGGCAUAGAGAAUGAGAUUAUAAAUAAAAUUGGCAGAGCAUAGGAUAGUUUACCUGUCAGACCUGUGGAAGACAGAGGAAUUUAUGACCAAAGAAGAACUAGAGAUCACUAUUGACCACAAAAUAGAAAAUUUUGAUUAUAUCAAAUUGAAAAGUUUUUGUACAAACAAAACAAAUGCAGACAAGAUUAGAAGUGAAACAAUAAACUGGGAAAACAUUUUUACAGUCAAAGGUUCUGAUAAAGGCCUCAUUUCCAAAAUAUAUAGAGAAUUAUCUAAUUUAUAAGAAAUCAAGCCAUUCUCCAAUUGAUAAAUGGUCAAAGGAUAUGAAUAGGCAAUUUUCAGAUGAUGAAAUUGAAACUAUUACCACUCAUAUGAAAGAGUGUUCCAAAUCAUUAUUAAUCAGAGAAAUGCAAAUUAAGACAACUCUGAGAUACCAUUACACACCUGUCAGAUUGGCUAGAAUGACAGGGAAAGAUAAUGUGGAAUGUUGGAGGGGAGGUGGGAAAACAGGGACACUGAUACAUUGUUGGUUGAAUUGUGAAUAUAUCCAGCCAUUCUGGAGAGCAAUUUGGAACUAUGCUCAAAAAGUUAUCAAACUGUGCAUACCCUUUGAUCCAGCAGUGUUUCUACUGGGCUCAUACCCCAAAGAGAUACUAAAGGAGGGAAAGGGACUUGUAUGUGCCAAAAUAUUUGUGGCAGCCCUGUUGGUAGUGGCUAGACGCUGGAAAAUGAAUGGAUGCCCAUCAAUUGGAGAAUGGUUGAGUAAAUUGUGGUAUAUGAAUGUUAUGUAAUAUUGCUCUGUAAAGAAUGACCAACAGGAUGAAUACAGAGAGGACUAGCGAGACUUGCAUGAACUGAUGCUGAGUGAAAUGAGCAGAACCAGGAGAUCAUUAUAUACCUCAACAAUAAUACUGUUCGAGGAUGUAUUCUGAUGGAAGUGGAUCUCUUCAUUAAAGAGAGCAAAUUCUGUUUCAAUUGAUCAAGCAUGAACAGAAGCAACUACACCCAAAGAAAGAACACUGGAAAAUGAAUGUAAACUGCUUGCAUUUUUGUUUUUCUUCCCGGGUUAUUUCUACCUUCUGAAUCCAACUCUUCCUGUGCAACAAGAAAACUGUUCGGUUCUGCACACAUAUAUUGUAUCUAGGAUAUACUGUAACCCAUUUAACAUGUAAAGGACUGCUUGCCAUCUGUGGGAGGGGAUGGAGGGAGGGAGGAGAAAAAUCUGAACAGAUGUGAGUGCAAGGGAUAAUACUGUAAAAAAUUACCCUGGCAUGGGUUCUGUCAAUAAAAAGUUAUUUUAAAAAAUUAAAAUUAAAAAUAAACAAAUAUCCCCCUCCCCAAAAACAAAACAAAACAAACAAACAAACAAAAAAAAAAAAAACCAAAGUUCUGUUUACCAUUUGAAUCUCCCUUCUUAUCAUUACUCCCUAUUUUUCUUUGAAGUCUCCCUUUUUGCUCUAUCCCUGCUACUUUUUCUUUGCUUCUUACCCUCAUUCUUUAUUUAAGUCAAAACUUUAAAUUUAUUUUCCUUAUCUUCUCCUUACUUUCCUAAUUUUAUUCCAUAUACCCAUGAAAAAGCCCUAAUUUCAUCCUACCCCUCAGGUUUGUUUGUUUGUUUUUUUAACCUUGGGGAGCAACUGGGAUUAAGUGACAUGUCCAGAAA
Long non-coding RNA from Antechinus flavipes (yellow-footed antechinus), 2022 nucleotides. RefSeq lists it as uncharacterized. NCBI's taxonomy places the organism in Eukaryota, Metazoa, Chordata, Mammalia, Dasyuromorphia, Dasyuridae. The transcript is spliced from 2 exons. The record is from RefSeq and is a predicted model, not a curated record.